Molecule: transfer RNA, 84 nt
Filed under: Vanilla planifolia
Lineage: Eukaryota; Viridiplantae; Streptophyta; Magnoliopsida; Asparagales; Orchidaceae
Also listed under: 4 other names
Rfam family: tRNA
About the family: Transfer RNA (tRNA) molecules are approximately 80 nucleotides in length. Their secondary structure includes four short double-helical elements and three loops (D, anti-codon, and T loops).
Source: Rfam by way of RNAcentral
GGGUCGAUGCCCGAGCGGUUAAUGGGGACGGACUGUAAAUUCGUUGACAAGAAGUCUACGCUGGUUCGAAUCCAGCUCGGCCCA